AUUGAACGCUGGCGGAAUGCUUUACACAUGCAAGUCGAACGGUAGAGGGGGCAACCCCUUGAGAGUGGCGAACGGGUGAGUAAUAUAUCGGAACGUGCCCAGUCGUGGGGAUAACGUAGCGAAAGUUACGCUAAUACCGCAUACGAUCUAAGGAUGAAAGCGGGGGACUCGCAAGAGCCUCGCGCGAUUGGAGCGGCCGAUAUCAGAUUAGGUAGUUGGUGGGGUAAAGGCUCACCAAGCCAACGAUCUGUAGCUGGUCUGAGAGGACGACCAGCCACACUGGAACUGAGACACGGUCCAGACUCCUACGGGAGGCAGCAGUGGGGAAUUUUGGACAAUGGACGCAAGUCUGAUCCAGCCAUUCCGCGUGCAGGAUGAAGGCCCUCGGGUUGUAAACUGCUUUUGUACGGAACGAAAAGGUUUCUAUUAAUACUAGGAGCUCAUGACGGUACCGUAAGAAUAAGCACCGGCUAACUACGUCGCAGCAGCGCGUAAAG
This 497-nucleotide ribosomal RNA is filed under the name uncultured bacterium. Its description in RNAcentral is "bacterial SSU rRNA". It matches the Rfam family "Bacterial small subunit ribosomal RNA", at positions 30 to 524 of the family's 1533-position model. The record is from RNAcentral.